This 292-nucleotide ribosomal RNA is filed under the name uncultured bacterium. RNAcentral's name for it is "partial 16S ribosomal RNA". The record is from RNAcentral.
GGACUACUGGGGUAUCUAAUCCUGUUUGCUACCCACGCUUUCGUGUAUGAGUGUCAGUAUAGGACCAGGUCGCCGCCUUCGCCGCCGGUGUUCCUCCUGAUAUCUACGUAUUUCACCACUACACCAGGAAUUCCACGACCCUCUUCCUUACUCAAGUUAGGUAGUUUUGAAUGCACUUCCCGAGUUAAGCCCGGGGCUUUCACAUCCAACUUACCCAACCACCUGCACACGCUUUACGCCCAAUGAUUCCGAACAACGCUAGGACCCCCCGUCUUACCGCGGCUGCUGGCAC